UUUUUUCAUUUUCUUUUAAUCUUCCCAAACUAAUCCUUUAACAUGUGGAAAAGGAGGAGGAGGAGGAGGAAGAGGAGGAGGAGGAGGAGGAGGUUUAUAUAAGGAAGGAGGUCAGUGAGGAGGAAGUUUUUUUCUUUUAAUCUUCACAAGGAGGAGGAGGAGGAGGAGUUGGAGGAUCUAAGUGUCAUCCUCAAACGUCACUCUUGCUUGACUUGACUUGAGAAAAUCUGACGUAGAAAAUUGUUAGUUAAGAAGGUUAGGUUAGGUUAGGAGAGGAAAGGUAAGAAAGAGUAAGGGUAGGUAAAUUUAGGGGUAAGGUUAGGGUAGGGAAGAGAAGUUAGAUAGAUUUAGGGGAAGAAAUACAAGAUAAGGGUAGGAAAGAGAAAGGUUAGGUACGGUAAGGUUAGGGGAAGAAAGGUCAGGUUAGGGUACGGAAAGAAAAAGGUUAGGUAAGGUUAGGGGUAGAAAGGUAAGGUAAGGGUAGGAAAGAGAAAGGUUAGGGGAAGAAAGGUCAGGUUAGGGUAGGAAAGAAAAAAAAGGUUAGGUAAGGUUAGGGUAGGGAAGAGAAGUUAGAUAGAUUUAGGGGAAGAAAUGUAAGGUAAGGGUAGGAAAGAGAAAGGUUAGGGAAGAUUAGAGGAAGACAGGUCAGGUUUGGGUUGAAAAGAGAAGUUAGAUAGAUUUAGGGGAAGAAAUGUAAGGUAAGGGUAGGAAAGAGAAAGGUUAGGUAAGGUUAGGGGAAGAAAGGUCAGGUUAGGGUAGAAAAGAAAAAAAGGUUAGGUAAGGUUAGGUUAGCAAAGGGAAAGAUUUAGGUUAGAUUAGAUUCAGUAGCGGGCUUUUUCAUUUUUUCUCUUUUGCCCUUGAGCCAUUUCCUUUGCUGUAGAAAAAAGGUAAGGGUAGGGAAUUUGACGUAGCAGAUUGUUGGGUAAAAAGGUUUAGGUUACUUAGUUAGGUUAGAGGGAAGGUAAGGUAGUUAGGUAAGGUUAGGGUAGGGAAGAGAAAGACUUGGGUUAGGUUAGGUUAGGGUAGGGAAUUUGACGUAGCAGGAUGUUGGGUAAAAAGGGUUAGGUUAGUUAAAUUAGGUUAGGGGGAAGGUAAGGUAGUUAGGUAAGGUUAGGGUAGGGAAGAGAAAGACUUGGGUUAGGUUAGGUUAGGGUAGGGAAUUUGACGUAUUAGGUUGUUGGGUAAAAAGGGUUAGGUUAGUUAGUUAGGUUAGGGGGAAGGUAAGGUAGUUAGGUAAGGUUAGGGUAGGGAAGAGAAAGACUUGGGUUAGGUUAGGUAAGGAUAGGGAAUUUGACAUAGUUAGUCGUUGGGUGAAAAUCGUUAGUUAGGUUAGGUAAGGCUAGGGUAGGAAAGGUAAGGUAAGAUAAAGUUAAAAUAGGAAAGAGGAAGAUUUGGGCUAGGUUAAGUAAGGAUAGGGAAUUUGACAUAGUUUGUUGAGUACAAAAAAAAAAAAAAAAAAAAAGUUUCGUUAGGUUAGUUAGGUUAGGUUAGGGGAAGGAAAGGAAGGUUAAGGUAGCAAAGAGAAAGACUUGGGUUAGGUUUGGUAAGGGUAGGGAAUAUGGCGUACGGUAGUUAGGUUGUUGGGUAAAAGAGUUAGUCAGGUUAGGGAAGGUCAGGGGAGGUAAGGAAAGGUAAGGUUGGAAAGAGGAACAUUUGGGUUAGGUUAGGUAAGGGUAGGGAAUAUGACGUACGGUAGUUAGGUUGUUGGGUAAAAGAGUUAGUCAGGUUAGGGAAGGUCAGGGGAGGUAAUUUAAGGUAAUGACAGGGCAGGAUUUAAACUGAAAGAAGAAUUUGUGUUAGGCAAGGGAUGAGGAAGAGUAGGAAAAGGAAGAGGAAGAGGAGGAGGAAGAGGAAGUGUAGUCUAAAUGGUGGAGAGAGAGAGAGAGAGAGAGAGAGAGAGAGAGAGAGAACUGUGUGGAGGUAUGAAGAGAAGAAGAGGGUGAAGAAAGAGGUGAAAUGGGGUGUAGGGAAAGGUGUGUGUAUUUAUGGAAAGCUUUUUAUUUUGUAGGGGUGAAAAGAUGAAGGGGAGACUAAAGUAAAAGAUGAAGAGAGGUGAAGAUGGGGAGAUAGAGGAGGAGAAAGAGGAAAAAUUACACUAGGAAUAAUAAAAAUAAGAAUAAGAAGAAAAGAAGGAUAAUAAAGAAGGGGAGAGGAACUGGAAGAAGGGGUUGACAAAGAAUAGAAGAAAGAUAAAGGAAGAGAAGAGAGAAGGGCAGUGGAGAGGAAGAAAGAGAGAAGAGGAGGGAAGAAGAGAAGGGGGUGUUGGGAGAAGAUGGUGUGGUGGGGGGGUGUUUGGGUAAAGUUUUGGUGGGGGGGGGAUAAAGAUGGGGAGAAUAAAGGGGUCUAUUUUGUAUUGGAAGAGUAGUAAAGCGACUGGGGGGGAGAAUGGGGAAGGAGGGGGGAGAGGGUGAGGGGGUGAGGGGGUAAGCUGUUCACAUCCCUCCCUGUUUGUAUUCCUCUUCUUAUAAGGAAAUGCAAGAACGCUACCGAUCCCCCUUCCCCUCCCCUUCCUCCCCUCUCCCCCCCUCCAUCACCCCUCCCCCCACUAUCACUUCACCAUCCACUCUCUUUUAAACUAUCUACUACUUCUCCUCUUCCCUCCUCUUCUCUCUUUCUUCCUCUUUCCUCUCUUCCUCCUCUCCACUGCCCUUCUUUCUUCUUUUCCUUAAUCUUUCUUCUAUUCUGUCAACCCCUUCUUCCAGUUCCUCUCCUCUUCUUUUUUCCUUCUUCUUCUUUUCUUCUUCUUCUUAUUAUUAUUAGUGUUAUUUUUCAUCUUUCUCCUCCUCCAUCCUUCACCUUUCCUCUCCUUUAAACCUUUCUCUCCAUUCCCCUCCUCUCCUCUCCCCUCCAUUCCCCUCCCCUACCUUUCCCCUCCCCUUUCUUCCCCAAUUUAAGGGGAUGAGAAUGGUGAAUGAACACCCACCAUAUAUAUCAGAUGAUCGAUGUUUUAUUCCGCACGGCCACCCAGAGACUGGUUUGGAUGGG
This is a long non-coding RNA of Eriocheir sinensis (Chinese mitten crab), 2985 nucleotides long. RefSeq lists it as uncharacterized. The transcript is spliced from 4 exons. Lineage: Eukaryota; Metazoa; Arthropoda; Malacostraca; Decapoda; Varunidae. The record is from RefSeq and is a predicted model, not a curated record.